This 2190-nucleotide long non-coding RNA is filed under the name Ananas comosus (pineapple). RNAcentral's name for it is "long non-coding RNA (ACOM_LNC017664)". The record is from RNAcentral. Lineage: Eukaryota; Viridiplantae; Streptophyta; Magnoliopsida; Poales; Bromeliaceae.
GGAGGAGAAAAAACAGAAGAAUAAGAGAAAAGAGGAGAAAGAGAAAGAAAAUAAGAUUUUGAGGUUUCAGAUCAAUCCGACGUGCCGAUCGCAAUUCAAACGUGCCACCUUAUCGGCGGCACGGGUAUCUUAUUCCUUUCCUUCUUUCUUUCUUUCUUUCUUCCUUUUAAUUUUUUUCCCUAUCUCUCUUUUUUUCUCUUUCUUGCUGGCUGAGAAAGAGCAACAACAGCAAAUAACUGCUGCUGGCUCUUCUGCAGCAGCAAAUAGCUGCUGCUGCAGCUAGCAGUUGCUGUUGGUUGAAUUUGCAACGCGCAGUAGUAGCAGCCAGCUAGCUAUUGCUGGCUGCUUUGCAGCAACAGCCAGUUGACUGCUGCUGGCUUCUCUGCAAUUACAGCCAGCAGCUGCUAGCUUCUCUGCAAUUACAGCCAGCAGCUACUGCUGGCAUAGCCCAGUGGCUACAGCAAGUAGGGAGAGAGGUAGAGUCCAGUUCAUGCAAUCUUCGCGUUUGGUAAUCAAAUUGGUAUUUGUUGGUUGGAGACCAGGGUAGAGUUCAAUUUACAGUUUGUUCUAGUUGAAAUUGAGGUUACUUUGAGUACAACUGAGUGUACAAUUGAGUUGAAUCGGAGUGAAUAAGAGAAAGGGAUGUUAUAUGUCGAGUUUUGGAGCUUAUAAGAAUUUCAUUGAUUUCAUCAUCGGUUUCUCGCAAUGGGGUACCACUGGAUCCUUGUUGAGCUCCUCUACCACUUUUGGUUGUCAUAGAGAUGCUGUUACUGAAACUUGAGGUAAAUUGGUUAAUUCUCGACAAAACCUAGUAUUCUUGCUUUGCUUAGUAGAUUCCUACAGGACGUGAGCCAAGGAGUGAAGUAUUCGAGGUCAAUUCUGGACAUUAUUGGAUUAGCGAUGUGAGGUGGGGUCCGAGUCAUCAGAAACGGCAAAGUUCCUACUAUGUCUCCAUUGAUGCAAAUAUAUGUCUAUAUGCUAUGUAUGCUUAUAGAGGGUAAUGUUAGUGUAAAUUGUAUUGGGAAGUAGAAUUUCAUUAUCACUAUUUGCGAGUACCUAUCUCCAUCAUUUUGUGUGGUCAUAUAUAUAUAGGGUAGAAUCAAAUCAUAGAAAAAUUAUUGUGUACACACGUUAAUUAGGCCGGGAGGGGCCGAGUGACACUGUAUGCAUGACUACAAAGGCUUGUUCAUGUGACAUAAGUCAUAGACUAGAGCAGCAGUAGUAAACAAAUAUGUUGGACAUAGAGGUAGGAUUUCGACAGUUUUAUAGUGCCAUUUCACUUAAAACCACUUCAAUAGUAUAUUGAUAUUGAGUACAUGAUAUGGGUUACUUGUGAUCUUUUGAUCAUUGCAUAAACUAUAGCCUGCAGAGCCACAUUGAGCUUGACAGAGUUACGCACUAGACUUGGUAGGGGUCGAUCCUCCCGAAUGCCGCUCCGGAGGUAGAGAGUUGCUCUAUACUAUACUUCGGGACUAGUGAGGGCCAGGGCCUUUUACUUGUAAUUUUACUUUUGGGGAUUUGAGAUUUGUGUGAUUUUGUAUAGUGGUGUACAAUAGUUCAGCUUGUGUAUAAUGCACUGAUGCAUGUAGAUAGUUUAUUUAGUAACUUUAUUCUAUUCUUGUAAUUUGGAAAACUUUCAGUUGUGAUCUCUAGUAUUGCUUCGCCAUUGUUAUGUUAUGUUGGCGCUUUAUCUGGACAGGAAAAACUCUCUCCGUUUGGCGGAUUUGUUGACGUUCCUGUGGGCUUCCGUGGAAUCGGGCGUGACAGAGCCAAAUUGAGUUGCAAGGCAGCUCAACUUGAAGUGAACAACAAGAGGUCCAAGCGGAGCCAAGCUGAACCGAACUACAAGUUGGUUCAGCCUAAACCGAACCGUUAAAGGAUUCAACUUGAAUCAAAGUGGGUUUAACCUGAACUGAACAACAGAAGGUUCAAGCCGAGCCAAGUUGAACCGAACUACAAGCCGGUUUAACCUAAACUGAAACAUAAAGGAUUCAACUUGAACCAAAGUGGUUUCAACCUGAACUGAAUCAUAGGAGGUCUGAGCAAAUCAGAUCACCAACUCAUUAAACUGUGCAGCCUAAUUUUGAACGAUCGUAGGUCCAUAAACUGAGCAUUUCACUAUGUACAGUAGGGGUAUGCCCCUGUUUAAGCCAUGCACUUGAAAAUUAUAUCAAUACAGGUUCAUAUUUA